Molecule: transfer RNA, 85 nt
Filed under: Felis catus (domestic cat)
Lineage: Eukaryota; Metazoa; Chordata; Mammalia; Carnivora; Felidae
Rfam family: tRNA
About the family: Transfer RNA (tRNA) molecules are approximately 80 nucleotides in length. Their secondary structure includes four short double-helical elements and three loops (D, anti-codon, and T loops). Further hydrogen bonds mediate the characteristic L-shaped molecular structure. tRNAs have two regions of fundamental functional importance: the anti-codon, which is responsible for specific mRNA codon recognition, and the 3' end, to which the tRNAs corresponding amino acid is attached (by aminoacyl-tRNA synthetases). tRNAs cope with the degeneracy of the genetic code in two manners: having more than one tRNA (with a specific anti-codon) for a particular amino acid; and 'wobble' base-pairing, i.e. permitting non-standard base-pairing at the 3rd anti-codon position.
Source: Rfam by way of RNAcentral
ACCUGGGUGGCUUAGUGGGUUGAGCGUCUGACUUCAGCUCAGGUCAUGAUCCCACAGUUUGUGAGUUGGAGCCCCACAUCAGGUU